GUGUUUUUCUAAGGUUGACACUGUGCUUUCAGAGGCUAACACAGAAGGGUAAAGUAAGUUUAUAACACCCAGAGAAAAGAUUGUCAAAUUCUUUUUUGGGGGCAGAACCGGGGAU
Molecule: small nucleolar RNA, 115 nt
Organism: Octodon degus (degu)
Lineage: Eukaryota; Metazoa; Chordata; Mammalia; Rodentia; Octodontidae
Source: Ensembl